RNAcentral lists this ribosomal RNA (434 nucleotides) under uncultured Clostridium sp. RNAcentral's name for it is "bacterial SSU rRNA". It matches the Rfam family "Bacterial small subunit ribosomal RNA", at positions 958 to 1393 of the family's 1533-position model. Lineage: Bacteria; Bacillati; Bacillota; Clostridia; Eubacteriales; Clostridiaceae. The record is from RNAcentral.
AACGCGAAGAACCUUACCUGAUCUUGACAUCCCUCUGACCGGUGAGUAAUGUCACCUUUCCUUCGGGACAGAGGAGACAGGUGGUGCAUGGUUGUCGUCAGCUCGUGUCGUGAGAUGUUGGGUUAAGUCCCGCAACGAGCGCAACCCUUAUCUUUAGUAGCCAGCAUUUAAGGUGGGCACUCUAGAGAGACUGCCGGGGAUAACCCGGAGGAAGGUGGGGAUGACGUCAAAUCAUCAUGCCCCUUAUGACCAGGGCUACACACGUGCUACAAUGGCGUAAACAAAGGGAAGCGACCCUGUGAAGGUAAGCAAAUCCCAAAAAUAACGUCUCAGUUCGGAUUGUAGUCUGCAACUCGACUACAUGAAGCUGGAAUCGCUAGUAAUCGCAGAUCAGAAUGCUGCGGUGAAUACGUUCCCGGGUCUUGUACACACGC